Molecule: unclassified non-coding RNA, 336 nt
Filed under: uncultured Diversisporaceae
Lineage: Eukaryota; Fungi; Glomeromycota; Glomeromycetes; Diversisporales
Description: sequence contains 18S rRNA gene
Source: RNAcentral
CCCAACUAUCCCUAUUAAUCAUUACAGUGAUCCUAGAAACUAACAAAAUAGAACCAACCCGUCCUAUUCUAUUAUUCCAUGCUAAUGUAUUCAGAUAUUAGCCUACUUUAAACACUCUAAUUUUUUCAAAGUAACAGUUCUGAUUCCCCAUCACACCAAGUGAAUGGUAUAAUGAUUCCUCAGAAGGUAGAAAUUCAUCACAUCAGUACAGACAGUUAAGCCUGACCAAUAGAUAAAUCCCGAAGUUCAACUACGAACUUUUUAACUGCAACAACUUUAAUAUAUGCUAUUGGAGCUGGAAUUACCGCGAUUGCUGGCACCAGACUUGCCCUCCAA